AUGUCACCGAUUCUAUUCAACAUAGUGGUUGAUAUGCUAUCUAUUUUAAUAGGUCGGGCUAAGGAUGCGGGGCAGGUUAGUGGCUUGGUUCCGCACCUAGUUGAUGGUGGUAUAUCCAUAUUGCAGUAUGCUGAUGAUACUAUCAUCUUUAUGGAGCAUGACUUGGCGAAAGCGAGAAACUUGAAGCUUGUGUUGUGCUUAUUUGAACAAUUGUCUGGGCUCAAGACUAACUUCAAUAAGAGCGAAUUGUUUUGCUUUGGAAGAGUUAAUGAUGACCAGGAGGCGUACAAGCAAUUGUUAGGAUGUGAGUUGGGUUCGUUACCGUUCACGUACUUAGGUAUACCUAUUCAUCAUCGUAAGCUGACGAACAAGGAGUGGAAGUGCAUCGAGGAUCGUUUUGAAAAGAAACUGAGCUAUUGA
This 420-nucleotide ribosomal RNA is filed under the name Triticum aestivum (bread wheat). RNAcentral describes it as "partial small subunit ribosomal RNA". Lineage: Eukaryota; Viridiplantae; Streptophyta; Magnoliopsida; Poales; Poaceae. The record is from RNAcentral.